AACGCUAGCGGCAGGCCUAAUACAUGCAAGUCGAACGGUAACAUGAGAGCUUGCUCUUGAGAUGACGAGUGGCGCACGGGUGCGUAACGCGUAUGCAACCUACCCUUUACUGGGGGAUAGCCCGGAGAAAUCCGGAUUAAUACCCCAUGGUACUGUAAUGUAGCAUUACAUAGCAGUUAAAGAUUUAUUGGUAAAGGAUGGGCAUGCGUGACAUUAGUUAGUUGGUAAGGUAACGGCUUACCAAGACGAUGAUGUCUAGGGGUUCUGAGAGGAAGGUCCCCCACACUGGUACUGAGACACGGACCAGACUCCUACGGGAGGCAGCAGUAGGGAAUAUUGGUCAAUGGGCGGAAGCCUGAACCAGCCAUGCCGCGUGCAGGAUGACAGCUUUCUGAGUUGUAAACUGCUUUUAUAUAGGAACAAAUAGACUUACGUGUAACAAGCUGACGGUACCGUACGAAUAAGGAUCGGCUAACUCCGUGCCAGCAGCCGCGGUAAUACGGAGGAUCCAAGCGUUAUCCGGAUUUAUUAGGUUUAAAGGGUGCGCAGGCGGGAAAAUAAGUCAGCGGUGAAAUCCUGUAGCUCAACUACAGAACUGCCGUUGAUACUGUUUUUCUUGAGUUCGGUUGAGGUAAGCGGAAUGUGUAGUGUAGCGGUGAAAUGCUUAGAUAUUACACAGAACACCAAUUGCGAAGGCAGCUUACUAAACCGUUACUGACGCUGAGGCACGAAAGCGUGGGGAGCGAACAGGAUUAGAUACCCUGGUAGUCCACGCCGUAAACGAUGAUUACUCGUUGUGCGCUAUAUACUGUGCGUGACUGAGCGAAAGCAUUAAGUAAUCCACCUGGGGAGUACGUCGGCAACGAUGAAACUCAAAGGAAUUGACGGGGGCCCGCACAAGCGGAGGAACAUGUGGUUUAAUUCGAUGAUACGCGAGGAACCUUACCUGGGCUUAAAUGUUAGUGACCUAGAGUGAAUAGAUCUUUCCUUCGGGACAAUUUACAAGGUGCUGCAUGGCUGUCGUCAGCUCGUGCCGUGAGGUGUCGGGUUAAGUCCCAUAACGAGCGCAACCCCUAUCCUUAGUUGCCAUCAGGUAAUGCUGGGGACUCUAAGGGAACUGCCUACGCAAGUAGUGAGGAAGGUGGGGAUGACGUCAAAUCAGCACGGCCCUUAUGUCCAGGGCUACACACGUGCUACAAUGGUCGGUACAGAGGGUCGCUACCUGGUGACAGGAUGCUAAUCUCAAAAACCGAUCUCAGUUCGGAUCGAAGUCUGCAACUCGACUUCGUGAAGUUGGAUUCGCUAGUAAUCGCAUAUCAGCAAUGGUGCGGUGAAUACGUUCCCGGGCCUUGUACACACCGCCCGUCAAGCCAUGGAAGCUGGGGGUACCUGAAGUCCGUGACCGCAAGGAGCGGCCUAGG
This 1421-nucleotide ribosomal RNA is filed under the name uncultured prokaryote. RNAcentral's name for it is "partial 16S ribosomal RNA". It matches the Rfam family "Bacterial small subunit ribosomal RNA". The record is from RNAcentral.